CUGUAAUAGAUCUCCUCUCAGAGGGACUGUAAUAGAUCUCCUCUCAGAGGGACUGUAAUAGAUCUCCUCUCAGAGGGACUGUAAUAGAUCUCCUCUCAUCGCCUUCUUGAUGGCAACUACCCUUAAUAGAAACUUUGCCAAAGUGAAGGAUAGGAUGCCAUUUCUGUGCCUGUCCACGUUCUGGUUUUUCUUUUCCAUUUCUAAAUGUGUGUAUAUGUGAGUGUGUACUAUACAUGCAUGUGUGUGUAUAUGUGUGUACUAUACAUGCAUGUGUGUGUAUAUGUGUGUACUAUACAUGCAUGUGUGUGUAUAUGUGAGUGUGUACUAUACAUGCAUGUGUGUGUAUAUGUGUGUACUAUACAUGCAUGUGUGUGUAUAUGUGAGUGUGUACUAUACAUACAUGUGUGUGUAUAUGUGAGUGUGUACUAUACAUGCAUGUGUGUGUAUAUGUGAUUGUGUACUAUACAUGCAUGUGUGUGUAUAUGUGUGUACUAUACAUGCAUGUGUGUGUAUAUGUGAGUGUGUACUAUACAUGCAUGUGUGUGUAUAUGUGAGUGUGUACUAUACAUGCAUGUGUGUGUAAAUGUGAGUGUGUACUAUACAUGCAUGUGUGUGUAAAUGUGAGUGUGUACUAUACAUGCAUGUGUGUGUAAAUGUGAGUGUGUACUAUACAUGCAUGUGUGUGUAAAUGUGAGUGUGUACUAUACAUGCAUGUGUGUGAAAGGUAAGCCUCGGCCCUCAUUGUCUCUUGUAGUAGUAUAUUUGAGCCUUUCAUACUGUAAGUGCCUUUCUAAAGAAUAAAAUGAAACAAAACAAAUGUUGAUAACUUUUGUUGCCAGGUUCUUGGACAGGAGAUGACGAGUGAUAACACAUUUAAGGAUGGUGUUUGUGUUGUUCUACAGUACAUACAGUAUCAAUGUUUAUUUACACAUACACUGAAGAGAACAGCUAAAUGUACAGUAUAUGUGUGUGUGUUUGAGUGUAUGCGCGUGCGUGUGUGAAUGUGUGUAUACAAGUGCUUGCAGCCGUGUGUGUGUGUAUGUGUGUGUGAAUACCAUCGGCCUGGGUGUUGAACCGGGCUCUGGAGCGUGUUUAUGGUGCCACAUCAGUAGAGUUGUCAGUCUGAGUGGCAGUCAGACACAGACAUCUCUGGCUCCCAAGUGUGUAUCACAGACUGUGUCAGAGAGUAGAGCAGAGUGGAGUAGAGCAGAGUGGAGUAGAGCAGAGUGCAGUAGAGCGAGGCAUCCUGGACCUAGUUCAGGUCAAUCGCUUCUCUUCAUCUGCCUGUGAUGUCACCUCUCUCAGCCAGAUGGGAAGUGACAUUACCAUAUGGUCAGAAUUCAAACACAUCACCCAUGGCUCUGGAUGUUGAUGAUUCUGUAUUCAAAGGAUUGCACAUAGUAAGUGGCUCAGCAGUGAAACAAACAGAUGGUAUCAUUGUAAUGUGAUAUGGAAUUCAACAGAAAUAAAGGCUAUGCAUGUAUUAUAGGUAAAACAUAAAUGGAAUGUCUACUGUAUAUCUAGAACCAUGCCAUGAUUUGUAUGUGUCACGCCCUGACCUUAGAGAUCCCUUUUAUUCUCUAUUUGGUUAGGUCAGGUUGUGACUAGGGUGGGCAAUCUAUGUUUUCCAUUUCUUUGUUGGGCGGGUAUGGUUCCCAAUCAGAGGCAGCUGUCUAUCAUUGUCUCUGAUUGGGGAUCAUACUUAGGCAGACUUUUUUCCACCUUUAGUUUGUGGGAUCUUGAUUUUGUAUAGCUGCUGUAUAGCCUGCAGAACUUUACGUUCGUUUUUGUAUUUUGCUGUUUUGUCGGUGUUCAUUUUAAUAAAGUAAAAUGUACGCCUACCACGCUGCACCUUGGUCCGAUCAUUACGACAAACGUAACAGUAUGCCACAUAGUUUAAAAUCUGUUGAUUGGUCAAAAUGAUACCCCACCUGUAUGUGGUCAUGUGAGUAGGAAGGAUGGGUCAAAAUGGCCGUGGUGGUGUGAGGAAACAAUUAAUUAAAUGUUUGUUUAAAAGUUUGAAAGUAAAAUAGUUGAGUAAUUGUGCUGUAAAAACCUGUUUCUUUGAAUUAUCUUCCUGGGAAAAUGUGAUCACUGGACUACUCUCAUCACCAAGGACUUCCUUUCAUCACCAAUGACUUCCUUUCAGCACCAAGUACUUCCUAUCACCCCCAAGGACGUCCUUUCACCCCCAAGGACUUCAUAUCAUCACCAAGGACUUUCUAUCAUCACCAAGGACUUCCUGAUUAUGUUGAUUGACUCUCCUGCAUUUCCUGUUGGAUUUUUGUGAAAUUACUCUCAUUUUGGUUUGUGACCUUUGAACUCUGGACAACUGAAUUUACAGGUGGCUCGAUAUAGUAGAUAGAUAGUUGGCCCUCUCCACACUCCCUCACUGUUUCAUUGUGAAGGCAAGCAAACAUGCAUUAUUAGCUUGUGUGUCGUGAUGGUUUAGACUUGCACAAAUACAGUGUGAUAGAAACACAACCUAAUGAUGCCACUUUGAGGGGCGAAGACGCAUAAAGGGAUACUUCAUCCAAAUGAUGACUUCACCUCAUCUUACCUCAUCUUAAGGGUGCAUAGUAGUCCAUGGAACCGUAGAGUCAGCUAACCCCAAGGUUACCUUCACCUUGUAGGGAUUCAGGUUCUAAGUUCCUGGUAGUCCGACACCCUUGCUAUCCAAUAAGCUUUUCUCCGAGUCUUCAUUUGGCCAAUCAGAGCACAGCUUAUUCCACAGAGAUAGAAUUCAGCAAUUUAUAUUCAUUAAGAGAGCUCAUUUUAUACAGUAAGUGCAAUGCCAACACAUAACAAUUAACACUCACUUGUUUGUCACGGCAAUUAUGAUUGGAAACAGCUCAUUUACAUGCUAAUGGUCCCCUGACAUCCAUUGAAAUUGACGCCAGUGAGCUCUCAAAGACAAACCGGUCAAUCGUGUCACCCAUUUAUCUUAGUCAGGUCAACAUGUGGCCAACCACUCUUAGGACAUAGUCUCUGCCCUCUGUAUUUACUAUGAAACAGUCAGACAUCACAUCUCCUGCCACUCACAGCAGUCACCACGAAGACAGUCAAUGGAGAGAGUCAGUUUACAGUGGCUUUACCUCCAGUGUCAUAUCAUUAUAUCAAUUUGCUUAGAAGAGUGAUUUGAUCCGAUCCCCAAUGAUCUCUUUUGUUUGUGUGGAUCCUCCUUCUCUCUGUCUCUCUGUCUCUCCGUUUCUCUCUCUCUGUCUCGUUCAAAUGAAGUUCAACUACACUUAAUUAAUAUCCUACACACACCAAGGUAGAAAGAUGCACAUGCACCCACGGAGACUCAUCUGCAGUUCACCAGGCAGCCAACAGAGGGGGCUAAAGGAUCAGAUUGGCAGCAUACAGCAGGCCUGUCUCAAGGAGAAAUAUGCUCACUGGUGUAGCAGCAUAUUGGGAAAAUGUCUUUAUUCCCUCAUGUUUCAUGUUGUGACAAGCAGAACUUUGGGUUGCCAUGGAGAGAGCUGCUGGAAAAAACAU
RNAcentral lists this long non-coding RNA (3498 nucleotides) under Salmo salar (Atlantic salmon). RNAcentral describes it as "lncRNA (ENSSSAG00000087048.1)". The record is from RNAcentral. Lineage: Eukaryota; Metazoa; Chordata; Actinopteri; Salmoniformes; Salmonidae.